AGGUCCUAAUCACCGUUCCCAUCCUCGUCUAGAUCGCUGUAAAGUCCAUUAAUUAAAUCCUACCGUUCACCGGCCAAGCGCUCGAAUUCCAAUUCCAAAUCGCUUUCCUUCGUUCCUCCAAAAGUCCCAAGGAAGAGAAGAAAAAAAAAAAAAGGAAGAGGAGAAAGAGAGGAAGUGAAGUGGACGUGAAGACUUAGCACGGGUUCCUCUUUCCUUCGCCUUCCACCUCGCUUCUCGACUGCCAUGGACGCGAUCAUUGACGUAACCAGCGCCAAACCUUAUCUUCUUCUUCAUCCCAUGGUGGAGAUUGAUGUAGUCGAUGUUCGUGAGGGAUAUCCACCACCGGGCAGCUCUCUCUCUCUCUCUCUCUCUCUCUCUCUCUCUCUUCUGGCUUCGAUGAGUUACCGGAAGGCGAUCAUAACCAUGCCCACCAUCGUCGUCGUGCUCAAAGAUGGAACUUUUCUUCGCUUCUUCUAACUCCAAAGUUAGAUGUGGCUACUGACACCUAAAUGCUUUCUAGUCUCUCCUCCUGCUCCUCUAGCAACUAAAGUAAAUGAUUAUUUUUUAUCUCCUUUACAGCUAAAGUAAAUUAUUAUUUUCGUAAUUGGAACCUAAUCUUUUAGGUAUAAAUAAAUAAAUUUUGAGUAUUUUCCUUUAAAGAGAUAUAAUAUAAAUUCUUCGAAGUUGUUUGCGUUAAAUAUUUCAGACAUAAUGCCUCCUAUAUCAUUGUCUUAUUUUUUUGAAAUAAUAUUUUUUUGAUAAAAUUUCAACAAAAAUCUACCCAAUUUGACAUGUUAAUUAUUCUUACGAAUUUUGGCGUUAACAAAAAAUAAAGUAGAUCUAAGUAUCUCCUGAAAAUAAGUUUAAUGUCACCAAAAUUAUAAGAGGCCCUUUCAGAUUUAGUACACG
This 909-nucleotide long non-coding RNA is filed under the name Musa acuminata (dwarf banana). RNAcentral's name for it is "long non-coding RNA (MACU_LNC004416)". The record is from RNAcentral. Lineage: Eukaryota; Viridiplantae; Streptophyta; Magnoliopsida; Zingiberales; Musaceae.